GACGAACGCUGGCGGCGUGCCUAACACAUGCAAGUCGAACGGAAAGGCCCUGACUUUGGGCGCAGGUCGAGUGGCGAAGGGGGGAGUAACACGUGGGUAAGCUGUACCUGUCUUAGGGGUAUCUUAAGGAAACAGGGGAUCAUAAAGCAUAGGAGUUAUUGCUCCAUGGUGGGGGUUGGUAAGAUUCGGUGGUUGGGGAUGGAAUCGCGGAUUAUGAGCUUGUUGGUGGGGUAGUGGCAUAGCAAGGUUAUGAAGGGUAGCAGGCCUGGGAGGGGGACCGGCCACAUUGCGCCUGAGAUACGGCCCAGACUCCAACGGUACGCAGCGGUGGGGAGUAUUACACAGUGGCCUGAAGCCUGAUGCAACAACGCCGCGUGCGGUAUGACGUCCUUCGGGUUGUGAACCACUGUCGCCUGUGACGAGGCGUGAGUGACGGUAACGGGUAAAUAAGCACCGGCUAACUACGUG
Molecule: ribosomal RNA, 468 nt
Filed under: uncultured bacterium
Lineage: Bacteria
Description: partial 16S ribosomal RNA
Rfam family: Bacterial small subunit ribosomal RNA
Source: RNAcentral